UGUUGCAGGGAGUUGUGGGAGGCUGAGACACUUGCUGAUCAUAUAAAAUUCGACCAUGGGUACAAUGCAAAGAGCCCUGCCAUUGUUAAUUUACUUGAAAUUAUU
This is a long non-coding RNA of Glycine soja, 105 nucleotides long. RefSeq lists it as uncharacterized. The transcript has 3 exons. NCBI's taxonomy places the organism in Eukaryota, Viridiplantae, Streptophyta, Magnoliopsida, Fabales, Fabaceae. The record is from RefSeq and is a predicted model, not a curated record.